Small nuclear RNA from Cricetulus griseus (Chinese hamster), 58 nucleotides. Lineage: Eukaryota; Metazoa; Chordata; Mammalia; Rodentia; Cricetidae. The record is from Ensembl.
GUGCUCGAUUCCACAGCACACAUGCUAAAAUUGGAGCGAUACAGAGAAGAUUAGCAUG